RNAcentral lists this transfer RNA (76 nucleotides) under Afipia sp. Its description in RNAcentral is "tRNA-Lys". It matches the Rfam family "tRNA". From Rfam's summary of the family: Transfer RNA (tRNA) molecules are approximately 80 nucleotides in length. The record is from RNAcentral. Lineage: Bacteria; Pseudomonadati; Pseudomonadota; Alphaproteobacteria; Hyphomicrobiales; Nitrobacteraceae.
GGGCCGUUAGCUCAGUUGGUAGAGCAGCUGACUCUUAAUCAGCGGGUCCCAGGUUCGAGCCCUGGUGCGCCCACCA